GUCUACAGUCAUGCCACCCUGAACAUGCCCCAUCUCACUUGAUCUCAGAAGCUAAGCAGGGUCGGGCCUGGCUACCACUUGGAUGGGAGACCACCUAGGAAUACCAGGUGCUGUAGGUG
This 119-nucleotide ribosomal RNA is filed under the name Pteropus alecto (black flying fox). Lineage: Eukaryota; Metazoa; Chordata; Mammalia; Chiroptera; Pteropodidae. The record is from RNAcentral.